UUGAAAGGGAAACGAUUGAAGUCAGUCGUACCUUCGGGUAAUCAGCCUUUCGGGUGCGAUUCUGUGGAGCGUAAGGAGUUAAACGCCUUCAUGCCUGCAUAUUCGUGCACUUUGGGUGUACUUGCCCGUGUGGUAGGUUAACAUCAAUUUCGGAUGUCAUAAAAUGGCUGGAGGAAUGUAGCUUCGGUCUCGUACUGAAGUGUUAUAGCCUUUGGUAGAUGUGAUGACCGGGAUUGAGGAUUGCAACGAAUACCUUUUGGGCUACCCGCCUGAUCUCUGAAAGUUGCUCUGGUGCCGAAAGCGUGCUUACGGUUAUCAAAGUUGACGUUCAAAAGGUUAGAACGGGUUAAAUUCGUUAAGGAUGUUGACGUA
Molecule: ribosomal RNA, 372 nt
Filed under: uncultured Rhizophagus
Lineage: Eukaryota; Fungi; Glomeromycota; Glomeromycetes; Glomerales; Glomeraceae
Description: LSU rRNA
Source: RNAcentral